CAACCAUUACGCCAGCAUCCUAGCCGAAGCGCGGACCUCAGUCCCGGCUGGCCGUAUUACACCCUGGGCUAUAACACCUCCACCGAAGUGGAGGCCACAUUCCCAGAGCCUUUAUCCGGCCGCCGAAACUGAUGCUGGCCUGUCCAAACUGAGUAAACCGGUCAGAAGACCGGCCGAACAGUUUAAACAAGUCUGAUUGCAAGCGCUUCCCUUUCAACAAUUUCACGUGCUUUUUAACUCUCUUUCCAAAGUGCUUUUCAUCUUUCGAUCACUCUACUUGUGCGCUAUCGGUCUCUCGCCAAUAUUUAGCUUUAGAAGAAAUUUACCUCCCAUUUAGAGCUGCAUUCCCAAACAACUCGACUCGUCGAAGGAGAUUUACAUAGGGUGCCAUUUCCUGUCACAUACGGGAUUCUCACCCUCUAUGACGUCCUGUUCCAAGGAACUUAGACAGGCGGCUUCCCCAAAUCAUCCUCUACAAAUUACAAUGCGAACCCGAAGGCUAGCUUUCAAAUUUGAGCUGUUGCCGCUUCACUCGCCGUUACUAGGGCAAUCCCUG
Molecule: ribosomal RNA, 556 nt
Filed under: Aureobasidium pullulans
Lineage: Eukaryota; Fungi; Ascomycota; Dothideomycetes; Dothideales; Saccotheciaceae
Also listed under: 1 other name
Description: partial 26S ribosomal RNA
Source: RNAcentral